AUGGGGGGCUGCUUACCAUGCAGUCGAACGAUGGGGCACUUCGGUGGGGAUUAGUGGCGACCGGGUGAGUAAGACGUGGGGGGUCUGCCCUGCACUCUGGGACAAGCCCUGGAAACGGGGUCUAAUACCGGAUACUGAUCAUCUUGGGCAUCCUUGGUGAUCGAAAGCUCCGGCGGUGCAGGAUGAGCCCGCGGCCUAUCAGCUUGUUGGUGAGGUAAUGGCUCACCAAGGCGACGACGGGUAGCCGGCCUGAGAGGGCGACCGGCCACACUGGGACUGAGACACGGCCCAGACUCCUACGGGAGGCAGCAGUGGGGAAUAUUGCACAAUGGGCGAAAGCCUGAUGCAGCGACGCCGCGUGAGGGAUGACGGCCUUCGGGUUGUAAACCUCUUUCAGCAGGGAAGAAGCGAAAGUGACGGUACCUGCAGAAGAAGCGCCGGCUAACUACGUGCCAGCAGCCGCGGUAAUACGUAGGGCGCGAGCGUUGUCCGGAAUUAUUGGGCGUAAAGAGCUCGUAGGCGGCUUGUCGCGUCGGUUGUGAAAGCCCGGGGCUUAACCCCGGGUCUGCAGUCGAUACGGGCAGGCUAGAGUUCGGUAGGGGAGAUCGGAAUUCCUGGUGUAGCGGUGAAAUGCGCAGAUAUCAGGAGGAACACCGGUGGCGAAGGCGGAUCUCUGGGCCGAUACUGACGCUGAGGAGCGAAAGCGUGGGGAGCGAACAGGAUUAGAUACCCUGGUAGUCCACGCCGUAAACGGUGGGCACUAGGUGUGGGCGACAUUCCACGUCGUCCGUGCCGCAGCUAACGCAUUAAGUGCCCCGCCUGGGGAGUACGGCCGCAAGGCUAAAACUCAAAGGAAUUGACGG
Molecule: ribosomal RNA, 863 nt
Filed under: Streptomyces sp. DOSMB-SP3
Lineage: Bacteria; Bacillati; Actinomycetota; Actinomycetes; Kitasatosporales; Streptomycetaceae
Description: bacterial SSU rRNA
Rfam family: Bacterial small subunit ribosomal RNA
Source: RNAcentral